This is a long non-coding RNA of Uranotaenia lowii, 280 nucleotides long. RefSeq lists it as uncharacterized. The transcript is spliced from 2 exons. The record is from RefSeq and is a predicted model, not a curated record. Lineage: Eukaryota; Metazoa; Arthropoda; Insecta; Diptera; Culicidae.
CCUCUGUUUGCUACGCCGGGAAAUUUACACCUCAGCCUCGCUCGCCGCGAUCGAUUUUCUUUUACCUGCCGGAGGAGAUGCGAUCAGCACGACGGGACCGGGACAUUAUAGGAAUUAAAAUUCCAAUGACAUUGUACCAGUUUUACUCCGCGCAUGGAUUGCUUGCCCCGGAAAGUGUUGCUGAGCGAAAUGAGGAGGAGGAUGCAGCAUAAAAAUGUAAAUCUCGGGCAAGUUAGUUUGUGAUAUUAAUAAUCGAUUCAAUAAAUCAAUGAAAUUGAAA